AGUGGCAAUGGGAGGAGAUACCAAUACACUCCUUCCCAUACCUCACGAAUAGCAUUUUCCAUGUCUGGCGCAGGUCGGAUGGUAGGUUUUGCAAAUGAUAACCCAAGGGGGCAACCGAAAUAGCGCCCAUAUACCUCCAUGAGAACUUCAUUAAUACAAUCAAAGAUAAGUUUCCUGUCAUAAGAAAGCUGGUUCGGAAAGGACCAUACCUCAUCAAAUAUUGAUGGGUCAAGAAGUGGGUCACAAGAAUUGGACAUGAUAUAGAACUCAUCCCAAUUCUCUCCAGAGGCUUGCAGCACUGCUUUCACAUAUUCAAAUAUUGAUUCCUUGUCUGCUAUAUAAGCUUUCAAAUGAGUGCCUAUAUCAGCGGCUGAAGGGACAUGCUCUUCAAAAUGAAUUCUUUGGGGUUGAAU
This 413-nucleotide unclassified non-coding RNA is filed under the name Hevea brasiliensis (rubber tree). Lineage: Eukaryota; Viridiplantae; Streptophyta; Magnoliopsida; Malpighiales; Euphorbiaceae. The record is from RNAcentral.